This 29-nucleotide small RNA is filed under the name Bombyx mori (domestic silkworm). RNAcentral describes it as "ovarian small RNA-6909". The record is from RNAcentral. Lineage: Eukaryota; Metazoa; Arthropoda; Insecta; Lepidoptera; Bombycidae.
UCACUAAGCUUACGUUUAUUCCCUUCUUC